Molecule: ribosomal RNA, 301 nt
Filed under: uncultured bacterium
Lineage: Bacteria
Description: partial 16S ribosomal RNA
Rfam family: Bacterial small subunit ribosomal RNA
Source: RNAcentral
CAGUCGCCGCGGGAAUACAGAGGGUGCGAGCGUUAAUCGGAUUUACUGGGCGUAAAGCGUGCGCAGGCGGUUAUAUAAGACAGAUGUGAAAUCCCCGGGCUCAACCUGGGAACUGCAUUUGUGACUGUAUAGCUAGAGUACGGCAGAGGGGGAUGGAAUUCCGCGUGUAGCAGUGAAAUGCGUAGAUAUGCGGAGGAACACCGAUGGCGAAGGCAAUCCCCUGGGCCUGUACUGACGCUCAUGCACGAAAGCGUGGGGAGCAAACAGGAUUAGAUACCCGAGUAGUCCCUGUCUCUUAUAC